CACAAGCGGUGGAUCAUGUUGUUUAAUUCGAUGAUACGCGAAGAACCUUACCAGGUCUUGACAUCCCCCGCGAUGCUUUAGAGAUAAAGCGGAGGUAUUCGGGGAGACAGGUGGUGCAUGGUUGUCGUCAGCUCGUGUCGUGAGAUGUUGGGUUAAGUCCCGCAACGAGCGCAACCCUAUUGCUAGUUACCAUCAUUAAGUUGGGGACUCUAGCGAGACUGCCAGUGAUAAACUGGAGGAAGGUGGGGAUGACGUCAAAUCAUCAUGCCCCUUAUGACCUGGGCUACAAACGUGAUACAAUGGCUGGAACAAAGGGAUGCGAAGCAGUGAUGUGGAGCGAAACCCAUAAAAACAGUCUCAGUUCGGAUUGAAGUCUGCAACUCGACUUCAUGAAGUCGGAAUCGCUAGUAAUCGCGGAUCAGAACGCCGCGGUGAAUACGUUCUCGGGGUUU
This 452-nucleotide ribosomal RNA is filed under the name uncultured Acholeplasma sp. RNAcentral's name for it is "bacterial SSU rRNA". It matches the Rfam family "Bacterial small subunit ribosomal RNA", at positions 924 to 1382 of the family's 1533-position model. Lineage: Bacteria; Bacillati; Mycoplasmatota; Mollicutes; Acholeplasmatales; Acholeplasmataceae. The record is from RNAcentral.